This 253-nucleotide ribosomal RNA is filed under the name uncultured bacterium. RNAcentral's name for it is "partial 16S ribosomal RNA". It matches the Rfam family "Bacterial small subunit ribosomal RNA", at positions 524 to 776 of the family's 1533-position model. The record is from RNAcentral.
UACGUAGGGUGCGAGCGUUAAUCGGAAUUACUGGGCGUAAAGCGUGCGCAGGCGGCUUUUUAAGCCAGAUGUGAAAUCCCCGGGCUUAACCUGGGAACUGCAUUUGGAACUGGAAGGCUAGAGUGUAGCAGAGGGGGGUAGAAUUCCACGUGUAGCAGUGAAAUGCGUAGAGAUGUGGAGGAAUACCGAUGGCGAAGGCAGCCCCCUGGGCUAACACUGACGCUCAUGCACGAAAGCGUGGGGAGCAAACAGG